GAAGAACGUCGCCGGAUUCACGCGAGGGUGUUUAACACCAGCAUAGCUUGUCUAUGUGGCAGUCGCGCAGGGGGUUCUUCUUUUU
RNAcentral lists this non-coding RNA (85 nucleotides) under unclassified sequences. The record is from RNAcentral.